Molecule: small nuclear RNA, 147 nt
Filed under: Vulpes vulpes (red fox)
Lineage: Eukaryota; Metazoa; Chordata; Mammalia; Carnivora; Canidae
Description: U4 spliceosomal RNA (ENSVVUG00000007634.1)
Rfam family: U4 spliceosomal RNA
About the family: U4 small nuclear RNA (U4 snRNA) is a component of the major U2-dependent spliceosome. The structure of U4 snRNA from yeast and human has been reported.
Source: Rfam by way of RNAcentral
AGCUUUGCACAGUGGCAGUAUCGUAAGCCAAUGAGGUUUAUCUGAGGCACGAUUAUUGCUAAUUGAAAACAUUUUACAAUGCAUUGGACAGUUCCUUACAACAAAUAAUCUGGCUUUAAAUGUCAAUAAUGCUGAGGUUAAGAAGCC